UACGGAGGGUGCAAGCGUUACUCGGAAUCACUGGGCGUAAAGCGCGCGCAGGCGGCUCAUUAAGUUGGAUGUGAAAUCCUAUGGCUCAACCAUAGAACUGCAUCCAAAACUGAUGAGCUAGAGUCUGGGAGGGGAAGAUGGAAUUAGUGGUGUAGGGGUAAAAUCCGUAGAGAUCACUAGGAAUACCAAAAGCGAAGGCGAUCUUCUGGAACAGCACUGACGCUGAGGCGCGAAAGCGUGGGGAGCAAACAGG
Molecule: ribosomal RNA, 253 nt
Filed under: uncultured bacterium
Lineage: Bacteria
Description: partial 16S ribosomal RNA
Rfam family: Bacterial small subunit ribosomal RNA
Source: RNAcentral